Molecule: unclassified non-coding RNA, 344 nt
Filed under: Ceratitis capitata (Mediterranean fruit fly)
Lineage: Eukaryota; Metazoa; Arthropoda; Insecta; Diptera; Tephritidae
Description: uncharacterized LOC105664915, transcript variant X2
Source: RNAcentral
UUGUGCCUUACGAGCGCUACACGGUGAGCUCGCCAACAAUGAAGUACGGCUCAAAUAGUUUUCCAGCGCAUUUACCUGUUUGCGGACGUGUUUUACGGAGUUGUGUUGCACGACGGUGAGCUAGAGCGUGUGCGCGCGUUACCAAUUUUGUUGUUUUUUGAGGCAGGCCCGCUUGAUGGCUAUACUCGUGCAUUCGUACAAACAUACAUUCGUACAUACACAUGUAUUUAUGUAUUGAGUACCUGUUUGUGAAGUUUACAUUAGCAGCGGCUAGACGACAACAGGUCUUGAGAGGUGUCUAACAAACAUAAAAAAUAUAUAUACAAUAGUUAUUGGGAAAAAUA